Molecule: non-coding RNA, 80 nt
Filed under: Phaeobacter gallaeciensis
Lineage: Bacteria; Pseudomonadati; Pseudomonadota; Alphaproteobacteria; Rhodobacterales; Roseobacteraceae
Description: Singlet oxygen resistance RNA X
Rfam family: Singlet oxygen resistance RNA X
About the family: SorX (RSs2461)like SorY is a singlet oxygen induced sRNA that counteracts oxidative stress by targeting mRNA for a transporter in Rhodobacter. It also has an impact on resistance against organic hydroperoxides.
Source: Rfam by way of RNAcentral
GACCCUCAUGAAGACGGCGCCAAGGCGCACUUCAUACCUCCCUGUUGGACUUCGGCCGAGCUUAGUGCUCGGCCUUUUUU